CCUAAAUCUUGAUGUUCCCUACACAAAAACAUCCGCCCGAGAACUACGAGCACAAACGCUUAAAACUCUAAGGACUUGACGGUGCCCCAAACCCACCUAGAGGAGCCUGUUCUAUAAUCGAUAAUCCACGAUACACCCGACCACUCCUUGCCAAAACAGCCUACAUACCGCCGUCGCCAGCCCACCUCCAUGAGAGCACAGCAGUGAGCCCAAUAGCCCAUACCCACUAACAAGACAGGUCAAGGUAUAGCCCAUGGAGUGGAAGAAAUGGGCUACAUUUUCUAAAAUAGACAAGCCUAACGAAAAGAGACUUGAAACCUGCCUCUAGAAGGCGGAUUUAGCAGUAAAGAGGGAUAACAAAACCCUCUUUAAACCGGCCCUAGGGCA
RNAcentral lists this ribosomal RNA (387 nucleotides) under Probosciger aterrimus (palm cockatoo). Its description in RNAcentral is "partial 12S ribosomal RNA". It matches the Rfam family "Bacterial small subunit ribosomal RNA", at positions 801 to 1381 of the family's 1533-position model. The record is from RNAcentral. Lineage: Eukaryota; Metazoa; Chordata; Aves; Psittaciformes; Cacatuidae.